This 506-nucleotide ribosomal RNA is filed under the name uncultured bacterium. RNAcentral's name for it is "partial 16S ribosomal RNA". It matches the Rfam family "Bacterial small subunit ribosomal RNA", at positions 29 to 523 of the family's 1533-position model. The record is from RNAcentral.
AGUGAACGCUGGCGGUAGGCCUAACACAUGCAAGUCGAACGGCAGCACAGGAGAGCUUGCUCUCUGGGUGGCGAGUGGCGGACGGGUGAGGAAUACAUCGGAAUCUACUCUGUCGUGGGGGAUAACGUAGGGAAACUUACGCUAAUACCCCAUACGACCUACGGGUGAAAGCAGGGGACCUUCGGGCCUUGAGCGAUUGAAUGAGCCGAUGUCGGAUUAGCUGGUUGGCGGGGUAAAGGCCCACCAAGGCGACGAUCCGUAGCUGGUCUGAGAGGAUGAUCAGCCACACUGGAACUGAGACACGGUCCAGACUCCUACGGGAGGCAGCAGUGGGGAAUAUUGGACAAUGGGCGCAAGCCUGAUCCAGCCAUACCGCGUGGGUGAAGAAGGCCUUCGGGUUGUAAAGCCCUUUUGUUGGGAAAGAAAUCCAGCUGGCUAAUACCCGGUUGGGAUGACGGUACCCAAAGAAUAAGCACCGGCUAACUUCGUGCCAGCCGCCGCCGUAA